GCUGCAACUCGCCUGCAUGAAGUCGGAAUUGCUAGUAAUCGCGGAUCAGCAUGCCGCGGUGAAUACGUUCCCGGGCCUUGUACACACCGCCCGUCACACCAUGAGAGUCGGUAACACCCGAAGUCAGUAGUCUAACCGAAAGGAGGACGCUGCCGAAGGUGGGAUUGAUGAUUGGGUGAAGUCGUAACAAGGUACC
RNAcentral lists this ribosomal RNA (196 nucleotides) under uncultured bacterium. RNAcentral describes it as "partial 16S ribosomal RNA". It matches the Rfam family "Bacterial small subunit ribosomal RNA", at positions 1304 to 1500 of the family's 1533-position model. The record is from RNAcentral.